This 455-nucleotide ribosomal RNA is filed under the name uncultured bacterium. RNAcentral's name for it is "bacterial SSU rRNA". It matches the Rfam family "Bacterial small subunit ribosomal RNA", at positions 340 to 785 of the family's 1533-position model. The record is from RNAcentral.
UACGGAAGGCAGCAGUGGGGAAUAUUGCACAAUGGGCGAAAGCCUGAUGCAGCUAUGCCGCGUGUAUGAAGAAGGCCUUAGGGUUGUAAAGUACUUUCAUCGGGGAGGAAAAAACAAAACUAAUAAUUUUAUUUCUUGACGUUACCCGAAAAAGAAGCACCGGCUAACUCCGUGCCAGCAGCCGCGGUAAUACGGAGGGUGCUAGCGUUAAUCAGAAUUACUGGGCGUAAAGAGCACGUAGGUGGUUUUUUUAAGUCAGAUGUGAAAUCCCUGGGCUUAACCUAGGAACUGCAUUUUGAAACUGAAAUACUAGAGUAUCGUAGAGGGAGGUAGAAUUCUAGGUGUAGCGGUGAAAUGCGUAGAUAUCUGGAGGAAUACCUGUGGCGAAAGCGGCCUCCUAAACGAAUACUGACACUGAGGUGCGAAAGCGUGGGGAGCAAACAGGGAUUAGAUCC